CUGGGGAUUCGAUCAGCCGAUUUCUAGCGCCAACAAAAGUUUUCAAUAUAUAAUUAAAAAGGUAAACGGGUUGUCAAACUAUGGACAGAAAAGAUGGUUCAUACAAAUACAAGCUGUGAACAUGCAUAUUUGAAGUUUGAUAUUUUAGAAAGUUUUGUACACAUAGUUUGAGAGUCUUUGAAAGUCAAAUAUGUAGUUUUCAAUACGUUGAUUGAAAGACGGGAUGUAGAAAGAAUCAUGUACAUGAUUUGAAAGUUUUUAAAAUUCGAGUAUGAAGUUCUAAAAUAUGUAAUUGAAAGUUAUGGGUGUAGAAAGUUUAGUAAAUGUAAUUUCUAUGGUUCUAAUAUUCUAUUUUGAAGUUUUGAAUAUGUGAAUUGAAAGUUAGGAGGUAGAAAGUUUU
Long non-coding RNA from Setaria italica (foxtail millet), 400 nucleotides. RefSeq lists it as uncharacterized. Lineage: Eukaryota; Viridiplantae; Streptophyta; Magnoliopsida; Poales; Poaceae. The transcript is spliced from 2 exons. The record is from RefSeq and is a predicted model, not a curated record.